CCUGCUUUUCUUUGCACACAGGCAAGACUGGUAAAAAGGAGUCCUCAGUAUCACACAAUAAGGAACAGUCGACCAUGCAGCCGUGCCAGUAUUGCGAGGUGUGACCCCGACUUACCUCCUGUUCUGUGCCGCCCCUACGCCCUAUCCCUUUGCCCAGAUACCGAGUUUAUCAGCGUUGAUAUCUAGAAGAGAAGAAAUAGGCGAUAAAGAUGGUAAAUGGCGACUGGAGAAGAUGGAGAAUACAAAGAGAAUGAGAGUAGAUGUGGAUAACAGUUUAUGGGAGUCGUGUUUACUAUUUUUUUUCUCGAGUUACCAAGUUGUGCAUCUUUCUGUGAUAUUUUGGAUGUUUCGUGUAUUUUUUUAUUUAUUGUGAUGUUAUUUUGUGUUUUCUCUCACUUUACCUUGAAGAUAGUUUUUAUAAAAGAGUAAUACAUAGAAAAAGGCUUUAAUAAAGUUAUACGUUAUU
Molecule: long non-coding RNA, 466 nt
Organism: Penaeus monodon (black tiger shrimp)
Lineage: Eukaryota; Metazoa; Arthropoda; Malacostraca; Decapoda; Penaeidae
Exons: 2
Source: RefSeq, a predicted model, not a curated record